Molecule: ribosomal RNA, 437 nt
Filed under: Wolbachia pipientis
Lineage: Bacteria; Pseudomonadati; Pseudomonadota; Alphaproteobacteria; Rickettsiales; Anaplasmataceae
Description: bacterial SSU rRNA
Rfam family: Bacterial small subunit ribosomal RNA
Source: RNAcentral
CAUACCUAUUCGAAGGGAUAGGGUCGGCUCGGCCGGACUUUACACGAGUGUUGCAUGGCUGUCGUCAGCUCGUGUCGUGAGAUGUUGGGUUAAGUCCCGCAACGAGCGCAACCCUCAUCCUUAGUUACCAUCAGGUUAUGCCGGGGACUUUAAGGAAACUGCCAGUGAUAAACUGGAGGAAGGUGGGGAUGAUGUCAAGUCAUCAUGGCCCUUAUGGAGUGGGCUACACACGUGCUAUAAUGGUGAUUACAAUGGGCUGCAAGGUCGCAAGGCUGAGCUAAUCCUAAAAAAUCAUCUCAGUUCGGAUUGUUCUCUGCAACUCGAGAGCAUGAAGUUGGAAUCGCUAGUAAUCGUGGAUCAGCAUGCCACGGUGAAUACGUUCUCGGGUCUUGUACACACUGCCCGUCACGCCAUGGGAAUUGGUUUCACUCGAAGCU